RNAcentral lists this ribosomal RNA (1044 nucleotides) under uncultured bacterium. Its description in RNAcentral is "bacterial SSU rRNA". It matches the Rfam family "Bacterial small subunit ribosomal RNA", at positions 8 to 1048 of the family's 1533-position model. The record is from RNAcentral.
AGAGUUUGAUCCUGGCUCAGGAUGAACGCUAGCGACAGGCCUAACACAUGCAAGUCGAGGGGUAACAGGGGCUUCGGCCCGCUGACGACCGGCGCACGGGUGAGUAACGCGUAUGCAACCUGCCUGUAACAGCGGGAUAGCUCCCUGAAAGGGGAAUUAACACCGCAUAAGACCACGCUCUCGCAUGGGGACGGGGUAAAAUAUUUAUAGGUUACAGAUGGGCAUGCGUGACAUUAGUUAGUUGGUGAGGUAACGGCUCACCAAGACUGCGAUGUCUAGGGGUUCUGAGAGGAAGGUCCCCCACACUGGAACUGAGACACGGUCCAGACUCCUACGGGAGGCAGCAGUGAGGAAUAUUGGUCAAUGGACGCAAGUCUGAACCAGCCAUGUCGCGUGCAGGAUGACUGCCCUACGGGUUGUAAACUGCUUUUAUAUUGGAAGAAUUGCGCUUACGAGUUAAGCGUUUGACGGUACAUUAUGAAUAAGGAUCGGCUAACUCCGUGCCAGCAGCCGCGGUAAUACGGAGGAUCCGAGCGUUAUCCGGAUUUAUCGGGUUUAAAGGGUGCGUAGGCGGAAAUGUAAGUCAGUGGUGAAAUCCUGCAGCUUAACUGUAGAAUAGCCGUUGAAACUGUGUUUCUUGAGUACAUUUGAGGUAGGCGGAAUGUGGUGUGUAGCGGUGAAAUGCAUAGAUAUACCACAGAACACCGAUUGCGAAGGCAGCUUACUAAACUGUCACUGACGCUGAUGCACGAAAGCGUGGGUAUCAAACAGGAUUAGAUACCCUGGUAGUCCACGCUGUAAACGAUGAUUACUGGUUGUUUGCGAUACACUGCAAGUGACUGAGCGAAAGCAUUAAGUAAUCCACCUGGGGAGUACGUCGGCAACAAUGAAACCCAAAGGAAUGGACGGGGGCCCCCCCAAGCGGAAGAACUUGGGGUUUAAAUUCCAUGAAACGCCAAGGAACCUUACCUGGGUUUAAAUGGCGGAAGGGCGGGGUUGGGAAACAGGUUCUUCUUUCGAAACUCUUUCAAGGGGGUUGGAUGG